ACAGAGCAGAGACACAGAAAGCUCAGAAGCUCACAUUGACCCAGGAGUACUUUCUAUGGUAGAUGGUAAUAGCAGACAGCAGCCUGCAGAUCCAGAUCCAGACCAAGUUAACUUCCCGGCCCGCAGCAGACGGGUCCUGCAGCGGCUGCUCGGCUCCGUUGUUUGCCUUCAAAGCAGACGCUGCCAGCUAAAAAGAGCGCGAGCCCGGCCAGCGCUAUCUGCCGGAUCUGUUUGAACAAGAACAAUCUUGGCAGCGGCUUGUUUGUCCAGAGUAAUCCUCUGUAAUCUGGGAGCAGUUCCACACAAGCCUGGUCCUGAACGCAGGCAGCGCAUUCCCCUGAAAAAACCCAGACCAACCCGAAGGAGAACAGAACCAGCGGCGCUCUGGACCGGCCGGACCGCACGACCCGAGCCGAAGGGAGACGGAUGUUGACUUCACUGCUCAGUGCAACCAUCCCUAACUGUGGUUAUUAGACGGCGCUGGGCAGAGCAGCAACCGCUGCAACCGAAGCAAUAGUCCCGCCGGCUCAGAGUGGUUCUGCUGCCGUAAACGUUGGGUUUUUCCUGCAACAUGGAAAGUUCUCCUGACUCAGUCCUGCCAUGCAUGGAGCUGCUUCAGGGACGGACGGCUGCAUCCGGCGUGCACAAAGCAGCGUCGUCACAGAUCCUUCCCCCCUGCAGCUGUUGGACUUUAGAAACAUUCCCGCUCCCAAAAAACUCAAUAAGUUCUUUACAUUCCAGCUGCUUUCUGCACUUUUCCUCUGGAUAAUCUGUUGUUGUUUUAUGCACAAAUAUAAACUGACAUAUUUACAUCACCCCAAUCAGAGUACGCCAUUUCUGAUAGCUGCACAGUAUUUAUUUCUGUAAAGCCGCCCUUACUGGACAAACUCUUAUUCUGGUUCUACCUUCUUGGGGGGCAAUAAAGGAGAUUUCUAUUCAGUUCAGUCUAGAAUAAAUUGUCUGAGUAAUCUCCACAUCCUUGGUGUUUGAAACGCCAAACUAAUGGCACUUUCUCCCAUUUACAUGAAUAAAUGGCCACACAACACCAUAAACCCAAUAAUCGUCUUCCAACUGUUAUAAACUGCUUUAAAGUCAUUAAAACUGGUAGAAACAGGCGGGGAAAGUCUUAUAAUCUUCCCAUUUGAGUUUUAAAACGCAGAUUAAAGGUUCCACAGAUCACCAACAAGCUUUUAAAGAGGAAUUGCCCAAUCCAACCUGGACUGGGUAUUGCUGAUUCAGCAACGGUCCAGAUCCAGGGACAGCAGCAGCUCAGGCUGCCUUUAGGGACGUUUAUUCCCGGGGAACCAGGAAAUCUGGAGGACAAACCCGCUGAUUUUUACCGGAGCCGGGACCAGAGCCGGCCCCGGCUCGCUUUAAAGCCGUGAAACGGGCCUUUAUUCGGGAACUUCACGCCCAAACUUGCCGCUCCUACCUCCCAUUGGAAGAGUUUCCUGCGGUCCUGCCGUCUUGUUCGGCCUCGAUAACGAGCCGGGUCACGGUCCGGGAGGCGAUGCUGAAAUCCACUUUCUCGCAGGAACACAUCAACAUUGUCGGACGGGAAUCGGAGCAGCGGCGGCGGAGGGGGAGGCAUCUACCGGCGGCGGCGGCGGCUAACGGCUCCUAGCCCGCUAACGGCUGCUCCCCGCGGACCCCCGGAGGCCCGACGGUCCGAUCAGCAGCGCCGCUUCCCAGCCAGCAGACACAGCGCCGUCCCGGCGUCCUCCAUCUCGGCCCGGUUAUCCAGAAACACGGUUAUAUCACCGAUAAACAGCCGGGUUGGGUUGGCAGCGGAGCCGAACCGACUCGGUUUAAAGAGCCGAACAAAAGCUCUUUUUGUCGGAAAGUAGAGAAGAAAAAAAAAAAGAACCAAGUCGGUUUAACCGGAGGACCGAACCAGGAGAGGGGGGAGUCCGCCGAACCCGACCGGGACACGGAUCAACCCAACCGGGAGAAUUAUACCGAUCACGUCAACUACGAUGAUACUUUAUGUAUAAAGAUUUAACAUUUAACGGAUAAAAAUGAUAAACUCUUCCGGAAAUGGUCCGGUCCUGCCCGUUGACCGGAAGCAACUCCCCCCUCUGAGAAACUUUUUGGUACAUUCCGGAAAAAUAACUGUACCCUAAGAUGUGGCGAUAGGAAGGAGUGUUUAUACCACACAGAUACACCGAAAACAGAUUAAAAUCAGCAACUAACCCAAUUUAUUUAACCACUCAAAAAUAAAUAUGACUUUAUUUGUCUCGA
Long non-coding RNA from Fundulus heteroclitus (mummichog), 2241 nucleotides. RefSeq lists it as uncharacterized. The transcript is spliced from 2 exons. The record is from RefSeq and is a predicted model, not a curated record. NCBI's taxonomy places the organism in Eukaryota, Metazoa, Chordata, Actinopteri, Cyprinodontiformes, Fundulidae.